CGUAGGGGGCAAGCGUUGUCCGGAUUAUUGGGCGUAAAGAGCUCGUAGGCGGCUUAGUAAGUCGGGCGUGAAACCUCCAGGCUCAACCUGGAGACGCCACCCGAUACUGCUGUGGCUAGAGUCCGGUAGGGGAGCGUGGAAUUCCUGGUGUAGCGGUGAAAUGCGCAGAUAUCAGGAGGAACACCAGCGGCGAAGGCGGCGCUCUGGGCCGGUACUGACGCUGAGGAGCGAAAGCGUGGGGAGCAAACAGGAUUAGAUACCCUGGUAGUCCACGCCGUAAACGUUGGGCACUAGGUGUGAGUCGGUUAUCAACGCGAUCUGUGCCGUAACUAACGCAUUAAGUGCCCCGCCGUGGGGAGUACGGCCGCAAGGCUA
Molecule: ribosomal RNA, 375 nt
Filed under: uncultured organism
Description: bacterial SSU rRNA
Rfam family: Bacterial small subunit ribosomal RNA
Source: RNAcentral